GCCCGGUGGGCUACAGUCCAUGGCGUCGUAAAGAGUCAGAGGAUCCCUGCCUCAUCCGCCUUGGCCAGCCCACUUGUACUCAUCCUCUGUGACUCAGCACACACCCCAGGUCUUCCGGGACAGCUUCCCAGAAGGAGUGAGGGAGUUCUGCCUUUGUGCCCUCAAGACAGGAGCACCCCAGUCUUGAGCUUUGAAUGUUGCCUGGAAGGAGAGGUUAUGUGAUUUGGAAAUUUACCCGUUUGACUCCAAAAACUAUAAACCCCUGAAUGGGAUGCUGUGUUUUUUUUCACUGUGACUCCAAAGCCUUCAACAGUGUUUGGCACUUA
Capra hircus (goat) is the source of this 326-nucleotide long non-coding RNA. RefSeq lists it as uncharacterized. The record is from RefSeq and is a predicted model, not a curated record. NCBI's taxonomy places the organism in Eukaryota, Metazoa, Chordata, Mammalia, Artiodactyla, Bovidae. The transcript has 2 exons.